RNAcentral lists this ribosomal RNA (433 nucleotides) under uncultured bacterium. RNAcentral's name for it is "partial 16S ribosomal RNA". It matches the Rfam family "Bacterial small subunit ribosomal RNA", at positions 29 to 507 of the family's 1533-position model. The record is from RNAcentral.
AACGAACGCUGGCGGCAUGCCUAACACAUGCAAGUCGAACGAGACCUUCGGGUCUAGUGGCGCACGGGUGCGUAACGCGUGGGAACCUGCCCUUAGGUUCGGAAUAACUCCCCGAAAGGGGUGCUAAUACCGGAUAAUGUCUUCGGACCAAAGAUUUAUCGCUUUUGGAUGGGCCCGCGUUGGAUUAGCUAGUUGGUAGGGUAAAAGCCUACCAAGGCGACGAUCCAUAGCUGGUCUGAGAGGAUGAUCAGCCACACUGGGACUGAGACACGGCCCAGACUCCUACGGGAGGGAGCAGUGGGGAAUAUUGGACAAUGGGCGAAAGCCUGAUCCAGCAAUGCCGCGUGAGUGAUGAAGGCCUUAGGGUUGUAAAGCUCUUUUACCCGGGAUGAUAAUGACAGUACCGGGAGAAUAAGCUCCGGCUAACUCCGUG